UGGGGAAUAUUGCACAAUGGGCGCAAGCCUGAUGCAGCCAUGCCGCGUGUAUGAAGAAGGCCUUCGGGUUGUAAAGUACUUUCAGCGGGGAGGGAGGCGAUAAGGUUAAUAACCUUGUCGAUUGACGUUACCCGCAGAAGAAGCACCGGCUAACUCCGUGCCAGCAGCCGCGGUAAUACGGAGGGUGCAAGCGUUAAUCGGAAUUACUGGGCGUAAAGCGCACGCAGGCGGUCUGUCAAGUCGGAUGUGAAAUCCCCGGGCUCAACCUGGGAACUGCAUUCGAAACUGGCAGGCUAGAGUCUUGUAGAGGGGGGUAGAAUUCCAGGUGUAGCGGUGAAAUGCGUAGAGAUCUGGAGGAAUACCGGUGGCGAAGGCGGCCCCCUGGACAAAGACUGACGCUCAGGUGCGAAAGCGUGGGGAGCAAACA
This 427-nucleotide ribosomal RNA is filed under the name uncultured bacterium. RNAcentral's name for it is "partial 16S ribosomal RNA". It matches the Rfam family "Bacterial small subunit ribosomal RNA", at positions 355 to 774 of the family's 1533-position model. The record is from RNAcentral.